CCUACGGGGGGUAGCAGUAGGGAAUUUUCGUCAAUGGGCGCAAGCCUGAUGGAGCAACACCGCGUGAGUGAAGGAGGGUUUCGGCUCGUAAAGCUCUGUUGUUGGAGAAGAACGUGCGUGAGAGUAACUGUUCACGCAGUGACGGUAUCCAACCAGAAAGUCACGGCUAACUACGUGCCAGCAGCCGCGGUAAUACGUAGGUGGCAAGCGUUAUCCGGAUUUAUUGGGCGUAAAGCGAGCGCAGGCGGUUGCUUAGGUCUGAUGUGAAAGCCUUCGGCUUAACCGAAGAAGUGCAUCGGAAACCGGGUAACUUGAGUGCAGAAGAGGACAGCGGAACUCCAGGUGUAGCGGUGGAAGGAGUAGAUAUAUGGAAGAACACCAGUGGCGAAGGCGGCUGUCUGGUCUGCAACUGACGCUGAGGCUCGAAAGCAUGGGUAGCGAACAGGAUUAGAUACCCCUGUAGUC
Molecule: ribosomal RNA, 465 nt
Filed under: uncultured bacterium
Lineage: Bacteria
Description: partial 16S ribosomal RNA
Rfam family: Bacterial small subunit ribosomal RNA
Source: RNAcentral